This 76-nucleotide transfer RNA is filed under the name Celerinatantimonas diazotrophica. RNAcentral's name for it is "tRNA-Thr". It matches the Rfam family "tRNA". Rfam says of the family: Transfer RNA (tRNA) molecules are approximately 80 nucleotides in length. Lineage: Bacteria; Pseudomonadati; Pseudomonadota; Gammaproteobacteria; Celerinatantimonadaceae. The record is from RNAcentral. RNAcentral also lists the same sequence under 1 other name.
GCCGAUUUAGCUCAGUCGGUAGAGCAACGCAUUCGUAAUGCGUAGGUCAUCAGUUCGAUUCUGAUAAUCGGCACCA